CUUAAUCCAUUUCCAGAAGGUCCACUCGUUCUUCUUCUUCGCUGAGCUUUUAUGUUUCGUCACUUUGAAUCUCUACCAUCUUAGCUAGCAAAGUCCUACAAAGAUGAUCCUUGCGCAAUUUAUUCUUCUCUGCGAUUGUAUGGUCGUAUGGCCCAGUUUGUCUAGGGUGUCUAAGCCCCAUUAUUUUAGAUGUGUAGAUGUUAAAAUUCUAGGUUGAAUCUUGCAGUAAAGUUCUAUAUUUUGUUUACUUCCUAAGUCGCAUUACAGUAUAGAUCUUCUGAAAUGAUUCAUUCGAAAGCAUAUGCAGAACAAUUUUGACUAUGAAUGAUAUUCUGAGUUCAAUAGUUGACUCUAAGGAAGACCGUGAUGAUGCUGAGAAGAGGUUUGCGGACAUUGACAAUGCUGAGAGGGAGCUUGAGCUCCGUUUCCACGUAGCCGGUUUACCGUAGCUUCUCCGCGAAGUCGUUUUCGACGUCUCCACCGGCGUCCAAUGCCGCGGCCGUGGCUUCCAGCCCCGCUGCCGACUUGACCGAAGAGAAUCUUCUGAUCGACGACGACGACGACGUUGUUUCCAAGCCUGAUACGAUUCCGACUCUGCUUCAACCCGACGUCAUUUAUGAUGGCAUUUGCCAUCUCUGUC
Molecule: long non-coding RNA, 640 nt
Organism: Ipomoea nil (Japanese morning glory)
Lineage: Eukaryota; Viridiplantae; Streptophyta; Magnoliopsida; Solanales; Convolvulaceae
Exons: 3
Source: RefSeq, a predicted model, not a curated record